GAAUCAGUACGCUGGUCGUGCCUUCGGUAUGUACUGGUGUCACUGGUUUCUCCCUUCUGAAGAACCAUCAUGCCAUUCACUUGGUGUGGUGGGAAAUCAGGACUGUUACUUUGAAAAAAUUAGGGUGUUCAAAGCAGGCGUUCGCUUGAAUACAUUAGCAUGGAAUAAUGAAAUAGGGCU
Molecule: ribosomal RNA, 180 nt
Filed under: uncultured Glomeromycotina
Lineage: Eukaryota; Fungi; Glomeromycota
Description: partial small subunit ribosomal RNA
Source: RNAcentral